Molecule: ribosomal RNA, 230 nt
Filed under: uncultured bacterium
Lineage: Bacteria
Description: partial 16S ribosomal RNA
Rfam family: Bacterial small subunit ribosomal RNA
Source: RNAcentral
GUAAAGCGUGCGCAGGCGGUUAUAUAAGACAGAUGUGAAAUCCCCGGGCUCAACCUGGGAACUGCAUUGUGACUGUAUAGCUGGAGUGCGGCAGAGGGGAUGGAAUUCCGCGUGUAGCAGUGAAAUGCGUAGAUAUGCGGAGGAACACCGAUGGCGAAGGCAAUCCCCUGGGCCUGCACUGACGCUCAUGCACGAAAGCGUGGGGAGCAAACAGGAUUAGAUACCCCUGU